RNAcentral lists this non-coding RNA (21 nucleotides) under Caenorhabditis elegans. Lineage: Eukaryota; Metazoa; Nematoda; Chromadorea; Rhabditida; Rhabditidae. The record is from RNAcentral.
UGAAUUUAUUGGGUACUUGUG